Molecule: ribosomal RNA, 202 nt
Filed under: uncultured Ascomycota
Lineage: Eukaryota; Fungi; Ascomycota
Description: partial 18S ribosomal RNA
Source: RNAcentral
GGGGCAUCGGAUUCAUCUGGGUCGGCUCUACUCUCCCCCCUUUGGGAACCUCCCGCUGUUGCUUUGGCGGCUCCCGGCGCCACUGACGUGCGAUGUCGAGUCAGUCAACUAUCACAUGUGAUUAACAAACUAAUAAAUUAAAACUUUGAACAACGUAUCUCAUUCGUUCCGGCUUCAAUUAACAACGCAGCAAUCUCUUGGC